AGAGUUUGAUCCUGGCUCAGGACGCCUUUGGGGGCGCGCCUAACACAUGCAAGUCGAACGGGGUGCGUUCGAAUGAAGUUUUCGGAUGGAAUUUGGAUGUACCUAGUGGCGAACGGGUGAGUAACACGUGAAUAACCUGCCCUGGAGUGGGGGACAACAGUUGGAAACGACUGCUAAUACCGCAUAAGCCCACAGAGCCGCAUGGCUCAGGGGGAAAAGGAGCAAUUCGCUUCAGGAUGGAUUCGCGUCCAAUUAGCUAGAUGGUGAGGUAAUGGCCCACCAUGGCGACGAUCAGUAGCCGGCCUGAGAGGGCGACCGGCCACAUUGGGACUGAGACACGGCCCAGACUCCUACGGGAGGCAGCAGUGGGGAAUAUUGCACAAUGGGGGAAACCCUGAUGCAGCGACGCCGCGUGAGUGAGGAAGUAUUUCGGUAUGUAAAGCUCUAUCAGCAGGGAAGAAGAAAUGACGGUACCUGACUAAGAAGCCCCGGCUAACUACGUGCCAGCAGCCGCGGUAAUACGUAGGGGGCAAGCGUUAUCCGGAUUUACUGGGUGUAAAGGGAGCGCAGGCGGCAUGAUAAGUCUGAUGUGAAAACCCAAGGCUCAACCAUGGGACUGCAUUGGAAACUGUCGUGCUGGAGUGUCGGAGAGGUAAGCGGAAUUCCUAGUGUAGCGGUGAAAUGCGUAGAUAUUAGGAGGAACACCGGUGGCGAAGGCGGCUUUCUGGACGAUAACUGACGCUGAGGCGCGAAAGCGUGGGGAGCAAACAGGAUUAGAUACCCUGGUAGUCCACGCCGUAAACGAUGGAUACUAGGUGUAGGAGGUAUCGACCCCUUCUGUGCCGGAGUAAACACAAUAAGUAUCCCACCUGGGGAGUACGACCGCAAGGUUGAAACUCAAAGGAAUUGACGGGGGCCCGCACAAGCAGUGGAGUAUGUGGUUUAAUUCGAAGCAACGCGAAGAACCUUACCAGAGCUUGACAUCCACGGAAUUCAUAUGAGAAUAUGAAGUGCCUUCGGGAGCCGUGAGACAGGUGGUGCAUGGUUGUCGUCAGCUCGUGUCGUGAGAUGUUGGGUUAAGUCCCGCAACGAGCGCAACCCUUAUGGUCAGUUACUACGCAAGAGGGCUCUGGCCAGACUGCCGUUGACAAAACGGAGGAAGGUGGGGAUGACGUCAAAUCAUCAUGCCCUUUAUGACUUGGGCUACACACGUACUACAAUGGCGUUAAACAAAGAGAAGCAAGACCGCGAGGUGGAGCAAAACUCAGAAACAACGUCCCAGUUCGGACUGCAGGCUGCAACUCGCCUGCACGAAGUCGGAAUUGCUAGUAAUCGUGGAUCAGCAUGCCACGGUGAAUACGUUCCCGGGCCUUGCACUCACCACCCGUCA
This 1390-nucleotide ribosomal RNA is filed under the name uncultured bacterium. Its description in RNAcentral is "16S ribosomal RNA". It matches the Rfam family "Bacterial small subunit ribosomal RNA". The record is from RNAcentral.